This 842-nucleotide ribosomal RNA is filed under the name uncultured Fusobacterium sp. RNAcentral describes it as "bacterial SSU rRNA". It matches the Rfam family "Bacterial small subunit ribosomal RNA". The record is from RNAcentral. Lineage: Bacteria; Fusobacteriati; Fusobacteriota; Fusobacteriia; Fusobacteriales; Fusobacteriaceae.
GAUGAACGCUGACAGAAUGCUUAACACAUGCAAGUCAACUUGAACUUCGGUUUGGGUGGCGGACGGGUGAGUAACGCGUAAAGAACUUGCCUCACAGAUAGGGACAACAUUUGGAAACGAAUGCUAAUACCUGAUAUUAUGAUUUUAGGGCAUCCUAGAAUUAUGAAAGCUAUAUGCACUGUGAGAGAGCUUUGCGUCCCAUUAGCUAGUUGGAGAGGUAACGGCUCACCAAGGCGAUGAUGGGUAGCCGGCCUGAGAGGGUGAUCGGCCACAAGGGGACUGAGACACGGCCCUUACUCCUACGGGAGGCAGCAGUGGGGAAUAUUGGACAAUGGACCAAGAGUCUGAUCCAGUAAUUCUGUGUGCACGAUGAAGUUUUUCGGAAUGUAAAGUGCUUUCAGUUGGGAAGAAAAAAAUGACGGUACCAACAGAAGAAGUGACGGCUAAAUACGUGCCAGCAGCCGCGGUAAUACGUAUGUCACAAGCGUUAUCCGGAUUUAUUGGGCGUAAAGCGCGUCUAGGUGGUUAUAUAAGUCUGAUGUGAAAAUGCAGGGCUCAACUCUGUAUUGCGUUGGAAACUGUGUAACUAGAGUACUGGAGAGGUAAGCGGAACUACAAGUGUAGAGGUGAAAUUCGUAGAUAUUUGUAGGAAUGCCGAUGGGGAAGCCAGCUUACUGGACAGAUACUGACGCUGAAGCGCGAAAGCGUGGGGUAGCAAACAGGAUUAGAUACCCUGGUAGUCCAAGGGCGAAUUCCACAGUGGAUAUCAAGCUUUAUCGAUACCGUCGACCUCGAGGGGGGGGCAAAUAUACAAAAAUAUUGUUCCCUUUAGUGAGGGGUUA